UGUGAACUCGAAGAGUAGGGCGGGACACGUGGUAUCCUGUCUGAAUAUGGGGGGACCAUCCUCCAAGGCUAAAUACUCCUGACUGACCGAUAGUGAACCAGUACCGUGAGGGAAAGGCGAAAAGAACCCCGGCGAGGGGAGUGAAAAAGAACCUGAAACCGUGUACGUACAAGCAGUGGGAGCACCUUCGGGUGUGACUGCGUACCUUUUGUAUAAUGGGUCAGCGACUUAUAUUCUGUAGCAAGGUUAACCGUAUAGGGGAGCCGCAGGGAAACCGAGUCUUAACUGGGCGUUAAGUUGCAGGGUAUAGACCCGAAACCCGGUGAUCUAGCCAUGGGCAGGUUGAAGGUUGGGUAACACUAACUGGAGGACCGAACCGACUAAUGUUGAAAAAUUAGCGGAUGACUUGUGGCUGGGGGUGAAAGGCCAAUCAAACCGGGAGAUAGCUGGUUCUCCCCGAAAGCUAUUUAGGUAGCGCCUCGUGAACUCAUCUUCGGGGGUAGAGCACUGUUUCGGCUAGGGGGUCAUCCCGACUUACCAACCCGAUGCAAACUACGAAUACCGAAGAAUGUUAUCACGGGAGACACACGGCGGGUGCUAACGUCCGUCGUGAAGAGGGAAACAACCCAGACCGCCAGCUAAGGUCCCAAAGUCAUGGUUAAGUGGGAAACGAUGUGGGAAGGCACAGACAGCCAGGAUGUUGGCUUAGAAGCAGCCAUCAUUUAAAGAAAGCGUAAUAGCUCACUGGUCGAGUCGGCCUGCGCGGAAGAUGUAACGGGGCUAAACCAUGCACCGAAGCUGCGGCAGCGACACUAUGUGUUGUUGGGUAGGGGAGCGUUCUGUAAGCCUGCGAAGGUGUGCUGUGAGGCAUGCUGGAGGUAUCAGAAGUGCGAAUGCUGACAUAAGUAACGAUAAAGCGGGUGAAAAGCCCGCUCGCCGGAAGACCAAGGGUUCCUGUCCAACGUUAAUCGGGGCAGGGUGAGUCGACCCCUAAGGCGAGGCCGAAAGGCGUAGUCGAUGGGAAACAGGUUAAUAUUCCUGUACUUGGUGUUACUGCGAAGGGGGGACGGAGAAGGCUAUGUUAGCCGGGCGACGGUUGUCCCGGUUUAAGCAUGUAGGCUGAUUGUCCAGGCAAAUCCGGAUAAUCAAGGCUGAGGUGUGAUGACGAGGCACUACGGUGCUGAAGUAACAAAUGCCCUGCUUCCAGGAAAAGCCUCUAAGCAUCAGGUAACAUUAAAUCGUACCCCAAACCGACACAGGUGGUCAGGUAGAGAAUACCAAGGCGCUUGAGAGAACUCGGGUGAAGGAACUAGGCAAAAUGGUGCCGUAACUUCGGGAGAAGGCACGCUGGUGUGUAGGUGAAGUCCCUGCGGAUGGAGCUGAGACCAGUCGAAGAUACCAGCUGGCUGCAACUGUUUAUUAAAAACACAGCACUGUGCAAACACGAAAGUGGACGUAUACGGUGUGACGCCUGCCCGGUGCCGGAAGGUUAAUUGAUGGGGUUAUCCGUAAGGAGAAGCUCUUGAUCGAAGCCCCGGUAAACGGCGGCCGUAACUAUAACGGUCCUAAGGUAGCGAAAUUCCUUGUCGGGUAAGUUCCGACCUGCACGAAUGGCGUAAUGAUGGCCAGGCUGUCUCCACCCGAGACUCAGUGAAAUUGAACUCGCUGUGAAGAUGCAGUGUACCCGCGGCAAGACGGAAAGACCCCGUGAACCUUUACUAUAGCUUGACACUGAACAUUGAGCCUUGAUGUGUAGGAUAGGUGGGAGGCUUUGAAGCGUGGACGCCAGUCUGCGUGGAGCCAACCUUGAAAUACCACCCUUUAAUGUUUGAUGUUCUAACGUUGGCCCCUGACCGGGGUUGCGGACAGUGUCUGGUGGGUAGUUUGACUGGGGCGGUCUCCUCCCAAAGCGUAACGGAGGAGCACGAAGGUUAGCUAAUCCUGGUCGGACAUCAGGAGGUUAGUGCAAUGGCAUAAGCUAGCUUGACUGCGAGCGUGACGGCGCGAGCAGGUGCGAAAGCAGGUCAUAGUGAUCCGGUGGUUCUGAAUGGAAGGGCCAUCGCUCAACGGAUAAAAGGUACUCCGGGGAUAACAGGCUGAUACCGCCCAAGAGUUCAUAUCGACGGCGGUGUUUGGCACCUCGAUGUCGGCUCAUCACAUCCUGGGGCUGAAGUAGGUCCCAAGGGUAUGGCUGUUCGCCAUUUAAAGUGGUACGCGAGCUGGGUUUAGAACGUCGUGAGACAGUUCGGUCCCUAUCUGCCGUGGGCGCUGGAGAAUUGAGGGGGGCUGCUCCUAGUACGAGAGGACCGGAGUGGACGCAUCACUGGUGUUCGGGUUGUCAUGCCAAUGGCACUGCCCGGUAGCUAAAUGCGGAAGAGAUAAGUGCUGAAAGCAUCUAAGCACGAAACUUGCCCCGAGAUGAGUUCUCCCUGAGACUUUAAGUCUCCUGAAGGAACGUUGAAGACGACGACGUUGAUAGGCCGGGUGUGUAAGCGCAGCGAUGCGUUGAGCUAACCGGUACUAAUGAACCGUGAGGCUUAACCUU
This 2545-nucleotide ribosomal RNA is filed under the name Klebsiella pneumoniae. RNAcentral's name for it is "bacterial LSU rRNA". It matches the Rfam family "Bacterial large subunit ribosomal RNA", at positions 398 to 2925 of the family's 2925-position model. Lineage: Bacteria; Pseudomonadati; Pseudomonadota; Gammaproteobacteria; Enterobacterales; Enterobacteriaceae. The record is from RNAcentral.